This is a non-coding RNA of Phalacrocorax carbo (great cormorant), 943 nucleotides long. NCBI's taxonomy places the organism in Eukaryota, Metazoa, Chordata, Aves, Suliformes, Phalacrocoracidae. The record is from RefSeq and is a predicted model, not a curated record.
UAAAAUCCAUGCUGCUUUCAGAAAUGACAGAGCUCCUGAACUGGAGGUGGGAGUUGCUCUGUGCACUGAACAGUAACAUCACAACUUGCAUGUGCGUGGUUUUGCGCUCCUGUCAAAGCAAAAUGCCAUUUCCUCUAGAGGCCUGGACGGGCCGUGGAGAGCGGGGAAGCGCAGUUGUGCCCCUGCUUGUGUUUCUCCUCAGAGUCCAGGAUCACAGGGCUGCCCAGGUUGGGAGGGACCUCGGAAGAUCGUCUGGCCCAACUUUCUGUGGGACAGGGAGCCUAGGUGAGAUUAUCUAGCAGCGUGUCCAGUCACAUCUUGAAAACCCGCAGUGGUGGCAGCGGUGACUCUUCAGUCACUUUUCUACGCGUCCCCUCCCCCGGGCCCUUUCCUUUGCACAGCUCUGCCCUUUGCUGCACUCCUGCUGCUUCCUUUGCUGGGGGUGGUCAGAGGCCACUCGCUUACUGGAGCUCCUGGAGCAAGUCCUGCCUGUUAAUUCAGACCCCAGUAGCUUUUUCUGCCCUGAUGGGGAAUAUCCUGGCUGUUCACUUUCUCAUGAUCUUUAUUACUUUUGUCUUGAGCUUUGUGACUCAAGUUCAGAAAUGUUGGAGAAAGUGACAGAAGUUAAAUUCUGCUGCAAAAGUCACUCCUGUCUUAGAACAGAAAGUGAGACCAGGGUAUUUGCCAUGAAGAGGAAGCUACCGGAGCUGACAGAUACCCUGCUGCUGCUGAAAAAGUCUGAGUUGCUGCAGGUUUCUCUCCCAUUUGGAAACUUGUGAAUGGGUCCGGUUUUAACAGAUACACCCGCACAGAUGAGAUGGUGAAUAAAGACAACCCAGUAACUUGCAUUCUCUUCACCAGCCCAUGUUUUGACAAGUAAUGACAAGUCCUUUCGCAAGAAAGGCGACUUAAGCAUGCACAGCGGGAAGUCUCUUACCUGGCC